UAGGUUCAAUAAUCCCCUAGAUUGUUAAAUGAAUAAGGGAUCAGAGCCUUCUUAUUAGCUCUAAUCUCUCUCUCUCUCUUUUUUUUUUUUUUUUUUUUGACAGUAAAUUUGUAGGCCAGGUAUUUGGCAUAAUUCAGACCCAAUUAUAGCAUGGUAAUACUACUGUACUUUAUUUUUAAUGCUUUAGUGUAAUUUACAAUUAAGACAACAUUCCUUUGGAUGAUGAUACAUAGUUCUUACAGAGAAAUUUAGUCCUACAUAUAAAAAAAGGCUAAAACAAAACAGGAAUCUGAAGAGUGUUUAAGUAUCCAUUUUAACCAUCUAUAUGUUCUGUAUUUAUGUGCCAUUGAGAACUAUAUAUAUUGAAAUCCAUAUAUAUUGUAUGGAUUUGGUUUAGGUUCAAAUACUGACAGGUAUGAAAAGUCAUGCAGAAAUUAAUGAGAGUUAAAAAAUAACAUCACUGUAGCCCACACAAGUCUAUCGAGCAUAUCUAAAAUAAAGCUGUAAUUUCCAGUGUAAUUUCCACCUCUAAAUAUACUCCUUUCUAGAGAGAAAUUAAAUAAAAUAUAAAAAAAUACUAUGCCAAUUUGAAAAUUUUCUAGCUAUAAUCUGGAUUACAAAUCAGGAUGAUAAUUUAUGAAUUUAGGCACUUGCUGUUUCUUAAGGAAGGCAAUUUCCUUUUUUUUCUUUGCUCAUCAUGUAAGUGGUCACUUCCCACUAUGAGUUCUCUAAUUAGGAAUUUAAGGGUGAACAGAUUCUGUUCUUUCGCUGACAAUUUCAAUUCCUCUUCUAAUGUGCAGAGCUUCUCAGUAUUCCCCUUAGGGCCAGGAAGUCUGCAGGAGUUCCGGAGCCCCCUUCUCCCAUUUAACAGUGCAAUUCUUACAGCUUCAUGCACCAUUUAUGUGGCUUUCCUGUAUGAGACAUCCUUUGGCUAUUCAAUAAGCUUCUUUUCCCAUAAAGACAAAAGUUACCUUUUUCAAUACAAGUCAAAGCUUCUGCAUUAGAAAGAUAAAUCAACAGAAAGAAAAGGAAUUAAAGUAUUAAAUAAACAGAAUCCACUAAAUUAAAGAUAUUUUUUUCCAAGGAGGCUGUGAAUGAAACUUGGCUCCAGCAGGUGGUAGAGGAACUGCUGGCAGUGAAGUACUUUUGAGGGAAGGUAUGGUCCAGGUUGCUUGUUGAAUACAAAAUACCAAUGUCAGUCAAUUCAGCCUUGAAGCUCAGGUGGAAAUGAAUGAUUCAGUAGAGAUUUUAGAAAUGGAAUAGGGAUGUGUGUGUAUAUAUAUAUAUAUAUAUAUAUAAUUAUUUUUUGUCUUUACAGGCUGUUAUUAUGAGACUCUCUGGUCAAAGUGCAGGCUUUAAAGCAUUGUGAAGUAUUAUAGCUGAGACAUGCUUCUCAGAAGCUCCUAUUGCAUCUCUCUUCUGAACCAUAGUUAGACUUAGCUGUUCUUUGUUCCAUCAGAAGUAGCUAUAUUUCACCCUAGCAACUAAUAUGUUUCAUUACUAAUUACAGACUCCAGGAGCUGUUUUGUUUAAGUUAGCUAGUUUCAGAAGUCCUUAUUCUGGUAAAAGUCCCAUGGACGACAAAAACACUAUGCUACCUCUGGUAAAGAAAAGCUCAGCACUGAAAGUAGCAUGCCUGUGGAACUUAGAUUCCUGAAUCCACAAUUUUAAUUAAGAAGUUUACUAACUCAGCUAGUAACUUUAGGGCCUUCCAGGGAAGUUUUCUGGCAGGGGGAAUUCCUCUUCUGUGUGUGCCUUUAAGUGACCCUAUUGUUUACUUCCCAGUCCAUGGUUCUUUCCUAACUUUAACUGGGAUCCAAAUCCAAAUAUGAUUUCAGAUGACUUUCCCCAUCCCUAAAUCAAUAAGGUUUCCUUAAUUAUAUCCUGAUAAGAUCAGGUGUCUUGAUCUGCUGCUAUUUCUGUUUAAGAAAAAGGAUGAGGUAAUGACUCUGUCUUCUCAUGGUGAUGCCCAGCGAUUAAAUAUUUUACCAAGAAAAUACGUUCUAGAGGGAAGACCUUUUCAGAGCUAAAGGGGUUUUUACCUAUUUCUU
Oxyura jamaicensis (ruddy duck) is the source of this 2051-nucleotide long non-coding RNA. RefSeq lists it as uncharacterized. The record is from RefSeq and is a predicted model, not a curated record. NCBI's taxonomy places the organism in Eukaryota, Metazoa, Chordata, Aves, Anseriformes, Anatidae. The transcript is spliced from 3 exons.